UACGGAGGGUGCAAGCGUUAAUCGGAAUUACUGGGCGUAAAGCGCACGCAGGCGGUCUGUCAAGUCGGAUGUGAAAUCCCCGGGCUCAACCUGGGAACUGCAUCCGAAACUGGCAGGCUAGAGUCUUGUAGAGGGGGGUAGAAUUCCAGGUGUAGCGGUGAAAUGCGUAGAGAUCUGGAGGAAUACCGGUGGCGAAGGCGGCCCCCUGGACAAAGACUGACGCUCAGGUGCGAAAGCGUGGGGAGCAAAC
Molecule: ribosomal RNA, 250 nt
Filed under: uncultured bacterium
Lineage: Bacteria
Description: partial 16S ribosomal RNA
Rfam family: Bacterial small subunit ribosomal RNA
Source: RNAcentral